UAAUACGUAGGGGGCGAGCGUUGUCCGGAUUCAUUGGGCGUAAAGAGCUCGUAGGCGGCUUGAUAAGUCGGGUGUGAAACCCUCAGGCUCAACCUGGGGUCGCCACUCGAUACUGUCAUGGCUAGAGUCCGGUAGGGGACCACGGAAUUCCUGGUGUAGCGGUGAAAUGCGCAGAUAUCAGGAGGAACACCGGUGGCGAAGGCGGUGGUCUGGGCCGGCACUGACGCUGAGGAGCGAAAGCGUGGGUAGCAAACAGGAUUAGAUACCCUGGUAGUCCACGCCGUAAACGUUGGGCACUAGGUGUGGGGCCUCAUCAACGGGUUCCGUGCCGCAGCUAACGCAUUAAGUGCCCCGCCUGGGGAGUACGGCCGCAAGGCUAAAACUCAAAGGAAUUGACGGA
RNAcentral lists this ribosomal RNA (400 nucleotides) under uncultured bacterium. RNAcentral's name for it is "bacterial SSU rRNA". It matches the Rfam family "Bacterial small subunit ribosomal RNA", at positions 521 to 917 of the family's 1533-position model. The record is from RNAcentral.